UACGUAGGGGGCAAGCGUUAUCCGGAUUCAUUGGGCGUAAAGCGCGCGUAGGCGGUCUGUUAGGUCAGGAGUUAAAUCUGGGGGCUCAACCCCUAUCCGCUCCUGAUACCGGCAGGCUUGAGUCUGGUAGGGGAAGAUGGAAUUCCAAGUGUAGCGGUGAAAUGCGCAGAUAUUUGGAAGAACACCGGUGGCGAAGGCGGUCUUCUGGGCCAUGACUGACGCUGAGGCGCGAAAGCUAGGGGAGCGAACA
Molecule: ribosomal RNA, 250 nt
Filed under: uncultured Atopobium sp.
Lineage: Bacteria; Bacillati; Actinomycetota; Coriobacteriia; Coriobacteriales; Atopobiaceae
Description: partial 16S ribosomal RNA
Rfam family: Bacterial small subunit ribosomal RNA
Source: RNAcentral